AAUAAACUUAAAGGCGUACAGUAGCCGACUUCUUUCACUUGUGUUCGGUUGUCCAUACACCCUUGUUCGUCUCCCGAAUGGAUGGCGUGUGGUCCCCUUUUUAUACCGCCCCGAACACUGACCUCCCCUGGCUCUUAACCACAAAUGAAAUGAUUAACUCGAGUGCUUUCCCUGGGUGGCCAUUUUGUGUUUUUGUAUUCCGAACACAGGCAGCGAUACAUGGUUAUCGAAUGCCUGGAACUAUUUUCGGCCAUGCGAGUCCUGAACCCGGCCCGCUGCUGGUUCCACUUCCUGACCAACUAGACGAACGACGUUUGGGAGAUAUGAACUCCCGAAUUGGGAUGAGCAUUUGCUCCCUAAAGGCCAGGGAGAACGUUCAUUGGUGUUCGCACGUGAACCCUC
Pelobates cultripes (western spadefoot toad) is the source of this 402-nucleotide non-coding RNA. The record is from the annotation of a GenBank genome assembly. Lineage: Eukaryota; Metazoa; Chordata; Amphibia; Anura; Pelobatidae.